ACCCGUAAAACCAAAGCUGUCUUCUGACUGAAAGACCUCAUGAUGGGCGACCUGACUCCAUUAGCCUGGAACCUGCUAGGCGCUGAGUGCCCGGGGCACCUGGUGGUGCACCCAGGGCGUUCCUGAGCAGAGAGGGUGUUUCAGCAGGAACUUAGUGACCCUGCGCGUGCAGAACCCCGACUUCACUUCACCUCUAGCUCGGGGUAGGGGCUCGCCUGGGAGAUGGAUCCUCGGUCCCUGUCCUUCACCUCCACCACCCCACCGGGUGUUCGCAGGCAGGAAGAGCGGCGCCCCAGGAGUCCUUUUUUAAAGUGACCACUAAAAAAUAAACCCAGUCCCUUGGAAAAGCUGGAAAGCUCUCACGGAGGAGUUUCCCUCACCCGGCAGGACCCCGUGCCCUCUGGCGGGAGGGAGCUCCAGGCUCCCAGGAACACCGCCACCCCCACCCCCAGGAGACUGUGGAUCCGGGGGCUGCGCUGGGGCGCACAGGGUCGGUCCCCGGCGGGCGCCGCUCCCUCGAUCUCACGCGGACAGGAUGAGGGUCCCGCGGGGAGGCUCCGCGCCCCGAGGAGGAGGGGACCCCAGGCCGUGUGCCUGCCGGGGCACCGCGGAGGCAGCCGCCCGAAGGGACGAGCGCCACCGCCUCCCGGGGCCGCUGGGGCAGAAAGUUUGGGCCAGGGUUGCGCCCGCCGCGCGGCUCCGGCUCCCCCGCGGGCCGUGCUGGCCCCUGGGGCGGCCACAGGGGGAGCCGCAGCCCCGGCUCGGGCUGGAGACUCCGCUGGGAGCGCCCCCAGCCGCCCCCCGGAGGCCCCGCGCUCCUAGCCACCCCCACGGCGGCGCCUACCCUCGCGCACGGCGCAGCGCGGCCCCGGGGCUCUCCAGGGAGCCGUGGAGCCCCUUCCUGCCUUCCGCCCAACUCCUUUGCGUCCUCCGCUCCUCGCCGGAGCCUCCCCGGGGCCUCGGGCAGGGCUCUCCGGGCCUGGGUGCGGGGACAGAAGGGCAGCGCACCCCGCGGGGUCCCAGCCCCCGCUCCCACUCGCGCCCCGCCGGGCCGGGAUCUCCGUGCGCCUCGGCCUCCCCCCGCUGGGGAGUUCCCCGCGCCGGGCAUUGUGCCGCCGCCGCCGCCGCCACCACCGCCACCGCCACGACCACGGUCUCUAGACCGAGAGCGACGCUCCCGAGACCGGGACCUCGAUCUAUGCCUGCAACCAAAGAAAAGAAACAAAACUGUCAUCCAAAGCAAAGCAUCCAACGGUAUCUCACAAUGAUUAAUGCUUCCGAAUACUGUAUCCCCCCGAGUGGAUNCCGGGGCCUUCCCAUUCACAAAACCGUCCCUCCGGCCUCCGGCUGGGCCACGUGCCCCGACCCCAGCCCGGGAGGGCCCCGGGCACCCAGACCCGAUGGUCCAGGCUUCUGUGGCCUCCAACUCGCGGCUGGGCCCACCCACUACCCAUCACCCAACUGUCUCCCUACAGGCAGGCCUCUUCCUUCACAGGCAAGUAAUAGCUCCUUAUAGGUCGCUCUUCUAGAUCAUUCCAGAAAAGCUCUCUGAAGACAGCACCAAAUCCUGUUCCCAAGCUCCAUCAGACCCAGCCGGCACUCAGCACCACAGACCCAUGGUGCUCCUGUGUGGGUGGGCUGAAGUUGGCAGCUGUGGCAGCUUGAGCCACAGGACCUGCACAAUGGGAUCCCCCCUUGGAGACAGGCCCCAGCAAGGCUGGCCUCACGGCGAGCCCUAGGGAAUGUGCCCUUCCAGCUGCAGCUGCUGUCCACUAGGGAUCUGGCCAGAAAAGGGCACAGGACCAACCUGUACGUCCUCAUACCAGGAACACCCAGGAGGUUGUCCAUCUUGGGAUAGCAUAAAAGAAGAUUUUAUACACCUCUGACUUGGAAACUUUGUUGGUUUUCGUGUUUUCUUGUUUGUUUAAGUGAGAACAGGGAGGAGAAGCUGAGAAUGGUACUUUGCACUGAUAAUUAGGGACAAAACAAGAGAUUUACUUCAGAGACAUUUUAGUCAAGGGCACACAACUAAUUUUGUUCCCUCUAAAACCCCACUAAAACUACCAAAAGAGAUUUUAUAAAGAUAUAAACACCAAAGAGCUGGAGAACGGGAGGAAAGACAAGAAAAAUGAUAGAGCAGUGGUGUCUGGCCUGGCCAUGCUGACUCCUAACCCCACAGCAGAGGGAAGCUGAGAAACCACCUCCAAGGCUCUGACCAGUGAGGCCAGGGACCCACUGAGAAACCACCUCCAAGACUCCGACCAGUGAGGCCAGGGACCCGUGGAGAUAGGGAAGGCAGCUCAGAGCAGCAGGAUCUUUUUGAGAAGCCCACAGACCCUUGCUGGCUACCUGCUCCAGACCCCCAGAUGGCCAGCCACCCUGGAGGGGGUGUUCCCUGGGGAGAAUGAAGCAGGGGCUCUGUGGCUGGAGGGUCUUCAUGAACAGGUGGCAGAGAGGUAUGUUGCCCCCCCAAAGGCUGAGAGCCCCCAUCAGCCCCAGAGGACUAUGCCCUUCAGGCAAAGCCCAGGAGAGUCCCUCUCUCCUCCUGCAAGUAAGACAUAACCUGGCUAUUUCCCAGCAGAGUGUGGACCAAUCUCCCUCCAGGGAAGCCCCAGUGGGCAAGCCCACCCAGUCCUCAGAGCCUCCAGUCAGCUCUGCAGGCCACUCCCCAAAAUGUGAGUAGACAUCCCAAAAUUUCCAGACAUCUGAGGAAAGCGUUUCAGAGGAGAGCCACCAAACUACCCAGGGCAGUGGUGGCUGGGGGUGGGGGGUGGAGAGCAACUUUGAGGAAACAAAGACGAGAGGGUAUCAUCAACAGCCCCUUUCAAUGUCUCAAAAGGCAGCAGAGAAGAUACUGCAUCUACGCAUCAAGAACAGGACGCUCUUUGAAAGAAGACACUGAGAGAACCAAAACAGGCAAAUUGCCCUAGAAAUGAGUUUCCUGGUUCUCAGCACAAUGGAUGGAAACUGACCCACAUCAAAGUAUACUGACAUACCGAACACUGAGGCCAAAAAAAGUUCCCACAAGUUUCCAGGUCCCAUAAAAAAGAGCCCAAAUGAGAAUGGGCGUUAGCCAUCUCUACAGCAACAGUGAGAGCUAAGAGAUAAGGAAGUGGUGCCUUCAAAGUGCCAAAGGAAAAUCUUUCCUGGCCUAGAAUCCCUAACUUAGCCAAAUUAACAAUCAGCUGUGAGAUUAAAAUUAAAAUAAAAACCUUUGCAUAUGCA
RNAcentral lists this long non-coding RNA (3225 nucleotides) under Vulpes vulpes (red fox). RNAcentral describes it as "lncRNA (ENSVVUG00000017881.1)". Lineage: Eukaryota; Metazoa; Chordata; Mammalia; Carnivora; Canidae. The record is from RNAcentral.